GGCAGGUUCCUGAGACUGAAACGGAAGACCACUUUCAUUUGCCCUCACCCAAAAGACUCAAUGGAGGAGAACAGAACCCCUGCAAUGACACAAAGAUUGGUCCCAGGUUCUUGAAUGUAGCGGUGGCCUCCUUCAGAUCUCUCCGUUUCCCACUCCAAUACACAAACAAGUUAAAACAGAUAGACAAAACCGCAAGACCGACAAUCAUCUGAAAACUCAGUGAUAUAAGUUUGCAAACCACUGGAGGUCAUUGAGAUGAAUGACUAGGAGAAUCAUUUUUUGAAUUGUCUUCCAUAGUCAAAACAGUUUCAGGCUGAUGCGAACCAUGUAACUGGAUUGUCAUAAAAUCCUUUGAUCUGGAAAUGUUGUUGGAAAUUCUCUCUCUCAGCUUUUUUGUGACCAUGAGCUUGCCAUAAUGCAUAUGUCAGGGAUAAGUCCGCACAGUUUUGUAUUUAUCACAUCAAAUAUCAUAAAUAAUUGCCAAUUGGCAUUCUGUUUACACGAGGGAAGCAAAACCAUGUUCAGCUAUACAGAGGCACCUGCACCCAAAAAAUAACUAGGCCUACAUCACAAUUGCACAAUAUACUAAACAGCUGACUUCAGAUCCUUGCCUUGCUUCCCUACAUCAGCUUGGAUAUUGGCCCCUUUGGAUUCUCUCACUGUCAUCAACCAUCUAUUCCUGUGGAUUGAAUAAAUAAAGAUGAUGCGCUUGAUCGACUCCUUGAGCUUUCAUAUCCAGAUUGUACAAACUGAGGAUCACUUAAAAUAUCCUGCAGAAAAAAAAUCAACAAUUUGUCAAGUCUUCUGAAUUAUGUUCACCUAUGUUGCAAAUUCUGAGAAAGACUUCUAGAUGGACAUUCUGUGUGCUCUGUUCUAGGCUCUUCAAGAGUUGGUUUCGAAGUGGGGAUACAGUUGGAGCUGGACGGGAGGCGGAUCUCACUGAUGAGAUUUU
Non-coding RNA from Nelumbo nucifera (sacred lotus), 952 nucleotides. The record is from RefSeq and is a predicted model, not a curated record. NCBI's taxonomy places the organism in Eukaryota, Viridiplantae, Streptophyta, Magnoliopsida, Proteales, Nelumbonaceae.